This 959-nucleotide long non-coding RNA is filed under the name Sarcophilus harrisii (Tasmanian devil). Its description in RNAcentral is "lncRNA (ENSSHAG00000025632.1)". Lineage: Eukaryota; Metazoa; Chordata; Mammalia; Dasyuromorphia; Dasyuridae. The record is from RNAcentral.
GAGAUGACUAAAGCAGCCUUUGGUCCUUCACUCUCCACGACCUGCGCUGAUGCCGGGAGAACUCGCUCGGAAGAAGAUGCUUCGGAGCAGGUAAAAGAGGGAAGGCAGAACAUUCACUUCCAUGAUUCAGAACUAGGAGCUCCACCUUUCUACCCUCACAGCUGGCCAGAUGAGAAAGAAAAGAUGUCAUGCUCCAUGGAGAAUGUUGGAGGGAUGUGUUUGAAAGCCAACUAAUGCUCCUUGGAUGAUCUAAGGGGUGUGCCCAGUCUUUUCAUAAGAAAGAAUACAAUAAAUGGAAAGAUGACAUCCAAGCAAAGUUCUAGGGUAGGUUUUCUGAUUUUCUUUCCAGUGUUAAAAUUUUAGCAUUCUUGCUCAUAAGACUUUGAUUGCUAUCAUUUUCUUCUCUCCUCUAGUACCUCAGGCCCUAUAAUGUUUUUAUUAGUCAUUCCUUUGAAUUAAGGCAAGGACUCUUAAAAUGCAAAUAUUACCUAAGAGGAGCAAAGUAGACCUUCAUAAAGUAACCUCAGAUUAUCUCACGCUGGAUUUUUUAGGUUAGUUCCUGUAGAAUAGGUGGAACCUAUAAGGAUGAAGAAGAAAAAAAGCUGAUCAGAGGAAAACUUUGACAAAAAGGGACUGUGACAAUAAUCAGGAAAAAUGUGAGUUCAGAGGAGGAUCCUCCUAAUGGUUACUUCCUUAAAUUAUCUUGUAUUUAUAAGUAGAAAGAGUUUAUGUAAAAUUUAAGGUUUGUGAAGCACUUUACAUUUAUUGUAUGAUUUGAUCUCCACAACAACUCUUGUGAGCAGAGUGUUAUUUUUAUCCCCAUUAUCCCCAUAUAAGUAUUUUAUUUUAUUUUUUAAUGUAUAUUAACUUUUUAAAUACAUAUUUCUUUAUGAAUCAUGAAAACAAAGGGGACAAACCACAACAGAAGAAAAGAAAAACAGGAAAAAAGAGUAAACAUA